Molecule: ribosomal RNA, 478 nt
Filed under: uncultured bacterium
Lineage: Bacteria
Description: bacterial SSU rRNA
Rfam family: Bacterial small subunit ribosomal RNA
Source: RNAcentral
UGAACGCUAGCGGGAGGCUUAAUACAUGCAAGUCGAACGGUAACAGGUCCUUCGGGAUGCUGACGAGUGGCGCACGGGUGAGUAACGCGUACAUAACCUACCUUCAAGAGGGGGAUAGCCUUGGGAAACUGAGAUUAAUACCCCAUAAGAUUGACAAUAUUGCAUAGUGUGUCAAUUAAAGCUACGGUGCUUGGAGAUGGGUGUGCGUCCCAUUAGCUAGUUGGUGAGGUAACGGCUCACCAAGGCUGCGAUGGGUAGGGGGCGUGAGAGCGUGAUCCCCCACACGGGUACUGAGACACGGACCCGACUCCUACGGGAGGCAGCAGUAAGGAAUAUUGGACAAUGGGCGCAAGCCUGAUCCAGCCAUCCCGCGUGCAGGAUGAAUGCCCUACGGGUUGUAAACUGCUUUUACCAGGGAAGAAAUCCCAUGAUUUAUUAUGGGCUGACGGUACCUGAGGAAUAAGCACCGGCUAACUCC